CACUUCACCAUGUCAUACCCAUUUUGUGUAAUUUUGAAUAAUUCCAUCACAACCACAAUGAUAGAAUAUCACAUCCCUCGAAUGUUUUUUCGUAUUAAAGCAGUUUUUAUAAGGACACCAAAAAAUCCAUUAUUUUUAGGAAUAUUUUUUCAGCGAAAUCCAAAAAUUGUAUCACUCCAUUCUCAUACUAUUUACUUAAUAUAUUGGUUUU
This 211-nucleotide long non-coding RNA is filed under the name Lathyrus oleraceus (garden pea). Its description in RNAcentral is "Pisum sativum (pea) long non-coding RNA (PSAT_LNC020012)". The record is from RNAcentral. Lineage: Eukaryota; Viridiplantae; Streptophyta; Magnoliopsida; Fabales; Fabaceae.